GACGAACGCUGGCGGCGUGCUUUACACAUGCAUUUCGAGCGGAAAGGCCCCUUCGGGGGUACUCGAGCGGCGAACGGGUGAGUAACACGUGGGUAACCUGCCCUUGGCACCGGGAUAAGCCUGGGAAACUGGGUCUAAUACCGGAUAUGACGCGUGACCGCAUGGUCGGCGCGUGGAAAGGGUUUCUGGCCAAGGAUGGACCCGCGGCCUAUCAGCUAGUUGGUGGGGUAGUGGCCUACCAAGGCGACGACGGGUAGCCGGCCUGAGAGGGCGACCGGCCACACUGGGACUGAGACACGGCCCAGACCCCUACGGGAGGCAGCAGUGGGGAAUAUUGCACAAUGGGCGAAAGCCUGAUGCAGCAACGCCGCGUGAGGGAUGACGGCCUUCGGGUUGUAAACCUCUUUCGGCGCCGACGAAGCCUUCGGGUGACUGUAGGCGCAGAAGAAGCACCGGCCAACUACGUGCCAGCAGCCGCGGUAAUACGUAGGGUGCGAGCGUUGUCCGGAAUUAUUGGGCGUAAAGGGCUCGUAGGCGGCCUGUCGCGUCCGUCGUGAAAGCCCGGGGCUCAACCCCGGGUCUGCGGGUGGAAUACGGGCAGGCUANANUUCCGGCAGGGGANACUGGAAUUCCUGGUGUAACGGUGAAAAUGCCCAAAUAUCAGGAGGAACACCAGUGGGCGAAGGCGGGU
RNAcentral lists this ribosomal RNA (691 nucleotides) under endosymbiont of Lucinoma sp. Its description in RNAcentral is "bacterial SSU rRNA". It matches the Rfam family "Bacterial small subunit ribosomal RNA", at positions 28 to 726 of the family's 1533-position model. The record is from RNAcentral.